GAUGAACGCUGGCGGCGUGCCUAAUACAUGCAAGUCGAGCGAACGGACGAGAAGCUUGCUUCUCUGAUGUUAGCGGCGGACGGGUGAGUAACACGUGGAUAACCUACCUAUAAGACUGGGAUAACUUCGGGAAACCGGAGCUAAUACUGGAUAAUAUUUUGAACCGCAUGGUUCAAAAGUGAAAGACGGUCUUGCUGUCACUUAUAGAUGGAUCCGCGCUGCAUUAGCUAGUUGGUAAGGUAACGGCUUACCAAGGCAACGAUGCAUAGCCGACCUGAGAGGGUGAUCGGCCACACUGGAACUGAGACACGGUCCAGACUCCUACGGGAGGCAGCAGUAGGGAAUCCUCCGCAAUGGGCGAAAGCCUGACGGAGCAACGCCGCGUGAGUGAUGAAGGUCUUCGGAUCGUAAAACUCUGUUAUUAGGGAAGAACAUAUGUGUAAGUAACUGUGCACAUCUUGACGGUACCUAAUCAGAAAGCCACGGCUAACUACGUG
RNAcentral lists this ribosomal RNA (497 nucleotides) under uncultured bacterium. RNAcentral describes it as "partial 16S ribosomal RNA". It matches the Rfam family "Bacterial small subunit ribosomal RNA", at positions 28 to 507 of the family's 1533-position model. The record is from RNAcentral.